This 497-nucleotide ribosomal RNA is filed under the name uncultured bacterium. RNAcentral's name for it is "partial 16S ribosomal RNA". It matches the Rfam family "Bacterial small subunit ribosomal RNA", at positions 28 to 507 of the family's 1533-position model. The record is from RNAcentral.
GAUGAACGCUGGCGGCGUGCCUAACACAUGCAAGUCGAGCGAACAGACGAGGAGCUUGCUCCUCUGACGUUAGCGGCGGACGGGUGAGUAACACGUGGAUAACCUACCUAUAAGACUGGGAUAACUUCGGGAAACCGGAGCUAAUACCGGAUAAUAUAUUGAACCGCAUGGUUCAAUAGUGAAAGACGGUUUUGCUGUCACUUAUAGAUGGAUCCGCGCCGCAUUAGCUAGUUGGUAAGGUAACGGCUUACCAAGGCAACGAUGCGUAGCCGACCUGAGAGGGUGAUCGGCCACACUGGAACUGAGACAGUGUCCAGACUCCUACGGGAGGCAGCAGUAGGGAAUCUUCCGCAGUGGGCGAAAGCCUGACGGAGCAACGCCGCGUGAGUGAUGAAGGUCUUCGGAUCGUAAAACUCUGUUAUUAGGGAAGAACAAAUGUGUAAGUAACUAUGCACGUCUUGACGGUACCUAGUCAGAAAGCCACGGCUAACUACGUG